This 411-nucleotide ribosomal RNA is filed under the name Triticum aestivum (bread wheat). RNAcentral's name for it is "partial small subunit ribosomal RNA". Lineage: Eukaryota; Viridiplantae; Streptophyta; Magnoliopsida; Poales; Poaceae. The record is from RNAcentral.
AUGGCACCCAAGGCGGAGAAGAAGCCGGUGGCCACGGAGAAGGCUCCAGCGGGGAAGAAGCCCAAGGCAGAGAAGCGGCCGCCGGCGUCCAAGGAGGGCGGCGAGAAGAAGGGCAAGAAGAAGUCCAAGAAGAGCGUGGAGACGUACAAGAUCUACAUCUUCAAGGUGCUCAAGCAGGUGCACCCGGACAUCGGCAUCUCCUCCAAGGCCAUGUCCAUCAUGAACUCCUUCAUCAACGACAUCUUCGAGAAGCUCGCCGGCGAGUCCGCCAAGCUCGCCCGCUACAACAAGAAGCCCACCAUCACCUCCCGGGAGAUCCAGACCUCCGUCCGCCUCGUCCUCCCCGGCGAGCUCGCCAAGCACGCCGUCUCCGAGGGCACCAAGGCCGUCACCAAGUUCACCUCAGCCUAG